RNAcentral lists this long non-coding RNA (1410 nucleotides) under Homo sapiens (human). RNAcentral's name for it is "non-protein coding lnc-CPEB4-4:5". The record is from RNAcentral. Lineage: Eukaryota; Metazoa; Chordata; Mammalia; Primates; Hominidae.
AGAGGACACAAAAGCAUGAAUAACAGGAGGAUGGAUAUAGAAUACCAGCAUCAGCAAGUGUACACGAUUUAAAGCACAUUUGGUAUCUAUUACCAAGCUGCCCUUCAGAGAGGUUGUCUCGUUACACAUUCCACAGCUGUGACUGAGAAACCGUCUUGUCGCAUUUGACAAUCCAGGUUACUAUCUAAAAACUUGAGUUUGUAAGAGCAACACGCCAUGAGAUAAUAUUCGUGCAAAUGUAACUGACAAAAGACUAACAUCCCAUAAUACUAGAGCACCUACAAACCAAGAAGAUAAACAUCCCAUUGGGAAAGUGUAAAAAUAUGAACAUAAAGUUUACAGAAGAAAAAACACAAAUGGCUCAUAAACACACAAAAAGAUGAUAUUGCUUCCUGGUAAUUGGGGAAAUGCAAACAAAAACUACAAUGAAAUAUCGUGGUAUCGUGUAUCAAAUUUGCAGAGCAUAAAAUAGAUUACAUUCGCAACCAGCAACUACAACCCAACCUUCAGCCUCACUGGACUUCUUGCCAUUCCCCAAACCAUAUCCACGCCCCUCUCCACAGGCUGUUCCUUCUGCCUGCAUGCCCUCGAUGGCACCAAGGGGGAUGGGCACACUAACACAACUGCUGGGAAUGGGAAAGUUUCAACCUCUUGGGAAUAAAAUCUAACAGUAUUUAUUGGAAUGUAACCUGUGCAUACUCCACAGCUGGGCCACUACCCUGCAAGAACCCCUCUGGCUGCUGCACAAAGCUCUUCUCUGCAUCCUUUUUUAUACUAGUGGAACCCUGGACACAGCCUGCAUAUGGAUCAAAAGGGCAGUGGUUAUAAAUAUACUAUGGUCCAUCUCUAGGCUAGACUGUGAUGCAGUGGUUAAAGCCAAGUAUUGCAGAAGAGUGAUUAAGCAUUCGUGCUCCAAAGCCAGAUAGCCUAGGUUUCAAUCCCAGCUUUGCCACUUACUUGCUGUGUGAUCUUGUGCAACUCACUUAGCCUUUCUGUGUCACAGUUUCUCCAUCUGUAUAACGGACGAUAACACUAGCCCCUACCUCAUAGGGUCAUUGUGAAGAGUAAAUGAAAUUAAUAUUGCCUAUGUCACAGAGUGAUCCUCCUCAAAAUCUAUUAGAUGAAAAAAGAAAUUUCUAGAAAUUAUCUACAUACAUAUUCUGAUGGGAUUUGUGUAAAGAAUUUAACCAACAAACCCAUAUUACACACACAUACACACACACUCACACAGACACACUCACACACACACACACGCACUCACGUGCGUAGAAGUAGAUCUAGGAAGAUCCAUGACACACAUGCGAGGCAGGUGAAUGGGGACAUUAAAAGGAGGACUUCCACGUUUAAUUCUGAAUGGUCUAUUUUAUUUGUGCAAUUUUUAAAAAUCAAAGCAAUAAAUCACUGUAAAAG